This 496-nucleotide ribosomal RNA is filed under the name uncultured bacterium. RNAcentral's name for it is "partial 16S ribosomal RNA". It matches the Rfam family "Bacterial small subunit ribosomal RNA", at positions 28 to 507 of the family's 1533-position model. The record is from RNAcentral.
GAUGAACGCUGGCGGCGUGCCUAAUACAUGCAAGUCGAGCGAACGGACGAGAAGCUUGCUUCUCUGAUGUUAGCGGCGGACGGGUGAGUAACACGUGGAUAACCUACCUAUAAGACUGGGAUAACUUCGGGAAACCGGAGCUAAUACCGGAUAAUAUUUUGAACCGCAUGGUUCAAAAGUGAAAGACGGUCUUGCUGUCACUUAUAGAUGGAUCCGCGCUGCAUUAGCUAGUUGGUAAGGUAACGGCUUACCAAAGCAACGAUGCAUAGCCGACCUGAGAGGGUGAUCGGCCACACUGGAACUGAGACACGGUCCAGACUCCUGGGGAGGCAGCAGUAGGGAAUCUUCCGCAAUGGGCGAAAGCCUGACGGAGCAACGCCGCGUGAGUGAUGAAGGUCUUCGGAUCGUAAAACUCUGUUAUUAGGGAAGAACAUAUGUGUAAGUAACUGUGCACAUCUUGACGGUACCUAAUCAGAAAGCCACGGCUAACUACGUG